ACUUUGUGGGGCCAGUCAUGGUGAAAUCUGUUUGCAGAAGAAAACUUUCUGAUACUUUCCCCCCCCAGAUACUGCUUUACUGGUUUAUGACUAAUUGAAAAACGGAUUCAUGCCUGAAGUUUUCUACCACUGCCUCUCUGUGGAUGAACCCAAGCUGCACCCUCACUGGAUGACUGCCAAGACUAUGGGAUGGCAGCAAUCUGUGAUGGAUCCAGUGUCCUGGAAUAAUCUCUUAUCUUCCAUAUGACUGGUGUUGGAGGUGGAAAGAAAGAACUGAGAGUCCUGCAGGAGAAUACAUCAAGUAAAAGAGCAGCUUCUGCUGGAGUGAAGCAGAUGUGAUGUAAUGUUGCUUUCCAGGUUGAAAAACUCCUACCUAGAGAAUUUCCUGAGCAUAAGGAUUGGAAAUAAAAAAAAUGCACUGCCUGUCAUAAAACAGUUUACCUGGGAGAAAACAAUAACGGCACUGAGGCAACUGUACAGUUACAUUUCUU
Molecule: long non-coding RNA, 491 nt
Filed under: Manacus vitellinus (golden-collared manakin)
Lineage: Eukaryota; Metazoa; Chordata; Aves; Passeriformes; Pipridae
Description: lncRNA (ENSMVIG00005005403.1)
Source: RNAcentral